Molecule: unclassified non-coding RNA, 385 nt
Filed under: soil metagenome
Description: partial contains 5.8S ribosomal RNA, internal transcribed spacer 2, and large subunit ribosomal RNA
Rfam family: 5.8S ribosomal RNA (bases 1-120)
Source: RNAcentral
GAUGAAGAACGUAGCGAAAUGCGAUACGUAAUGUGAAUUGCAGAAUUCAGUGAAUCAUCGAAUCUUUGAACGCACCUUGCACCCUUUGGCAUUCCGAAGGGUAUGCUCGUUUGAGUGUCAUUGUACUCUCACACUCCCAAUUGCUUUGGAUUGGGAGCGGUGGACUUGGGUGUUGCUGCUUGACUGAGGCUCACCUGAAAUAUGUUAGUGCACCUCUUGAUUGGACAUAGUACGGCGUGAUAAGUGUCUUCGCCGGCUCCUCGCAAAGAGGGUGGCCGAUCGGGAGCUCUGUUGCUUCAAAUUGUCUUCGGACAAUCUUCUGGCGACUUGACCUCAAAUCGAGUAGGACUACCCGCUGAACUUAAGCAUAUCAAUAAGCGGAGGA